Molecule: ribosomal RNA, 423 nt
Filed under: uncultured bacterium
Lineage: Bacteria
Description: bacterial SSU rRNA
Rfam family: Bacterial small subunit ribosomal RNA
Source: RNAcentral
GGAAUAUUGCGCAAUGGCCGAAAGGCUGACGCAGCGACGCCGUGUGUGGGAGGAAGCCCUUCGGGGUGUAAACCACUGUCAGGGGGGAAGAACACCGAUCGGUCGAAUAGGCCGGCCGGUUGACGGUCCCUCCAAAGGAAGCGCCGGCUACACCCGUUCCAGCAGCCGCGGUAAGACGGAGGGCGCAAGCGUUGUUCGGAAUUACUGGGCGUAAAGCGCGGGCAGGCGGUCCGUUAAGUCUGCGGUGAAAUCCCGGGGCUCAACCCCGGGUACGCCGCGGAUACUGGCGGACUGGAGACCGGUAGAGGCGAGUGGAAUUCCUGGUGUAGCGGUGGAAUGCGUAGAUAUCAGGAAGAACACCGGUGGCGAAGGCGGCUCGCUGGGCCGGUUCUGACGCUCAGCCGCGAAAGCGUGGGGAGCAAA